This 510-nucleotide ribosomal RNA is filed under the name Triticum aestivum (bread wheat). RNAcentral's name for it is "partial small subunit ribosomal RNA". The record is from RNAcentral. Lineage: Eukaryota; Viridiplantae; Streptophyta; Magnoliopsida; Poales; Poaceae.
AUGCACCGACAUCAACCACGUCCACGUCUAGCACAUCAGCCGACAACCAGGCCACCCCGUCCUGACCAACCUGGCAGUUCUACGUGGCACCCGCAGCACUAUGGUCCCACGUCGAGCUUCGUGUUUUCUCCACAGCCACAGCAACACGGUCCCUCGUCGAGCUUCGUGUUAUCUCCACAGCCACAGCAGCACGGUCCCUCGUCCAGUUUCGUGUUUGAACCAGAGCAGACGUCACACCCAGCAGGAGCCUAUGGAUAUCAGGCGUCUAUGUCGGCAUCACAUGAUACGUGGGGGAGUGAUCAACAUCCCGAGGACAACAUACAGGCUCAGAUGUCGCAGCACACCCAGUGGAUGAACAUGUUUUUGACUCCUCCACCAGGCCCGACACAGGAUACACAGCAUGACCAGGGAGAGUCUGAGAUUCCUCCUCGUCACGUUAGGGCACCCGACAGGUUGGGAUGGUCCCCGAUUCCAGAUCCGCCUCCCCGCCAGGCCAGACGUCGUCACUGA